RNAcentral lists this ribosomal RNA (466 nucleotides) under uncultured bacterium. Its description in RNAcentral is "partial 16S ribosomal RNA". It matches the Rfam family "Bacterial small subunit ribosomal RNA", at positions 29 to 506 of the family's 1533-position model. The record is from RNAcentral.
ACGAACGCUGGCGGCGUGCUUCACACAUGCAAGUCGAACGGAAAGGCCCUGCUUUUGUGGGGUGCUCGAGUGGCGAACGGGUGAGUAACACGUGAGUAACCUGCCCUUGACUUUGGGAUAACUUCAGGAAACUGGGGCUAAUACCGGAUAGGAGCUCCUGCUGCAUGGUGGGGGUUGGAAAGUUUCGGCGGUUGGGGAUGGACUCGCGGCUUAUCAGCUUGUUGGUGGGGUAGUGGCUUACCAAGGCUUUGACGGGUAGCCGGCCUGAGAGGGUGACCGGCCACAUUGGGACUGAGAUACGGCCCAGACUCCUACGGGAGGCAGCAGUGGGGAAUAUUGCACAAUGGGCGGAAGCCUGAUGCAGCAACGCCGCGUGCGGGAUGACGGCCUUCGGGUUGUAAACCGCUUUCGCCUGUGACGAAGCGUGAGUGACGGUAAUGGGGAAAGAAGCACCGGCUAACUACGU